GACGAACGCUGGCGGCGUGCCUAAUACAUGCAAGUAGAACGCACAGUUUAUACCGUAGCUUGCUACACCAUAGACUGUGAGUUGCGAACGGGUGAGUAACGCGUAGGUAACCUGCCUGGUAGCGGGGGAUAACUAUUGGAAACGAUAGCUAAUACCGCAUAAUAUUAAUUAUUGCAUGAUAAUUAAUUGAAAGGUGCAAUUGCACCACUACCAGAUGGACCUGCGUUGUAUUAGCUAGUAGGUGAGGUAACGGCUCACCUAGGCGACGAUACAUAGCCGACCUGGGAGGGUGGUCGGCCACCCUGGGACUGGGACACGGCCCAGACUCCUACGGGAGGCAGCAGUAGGGAAUCUUCGGCCAUGGGCGGAAGUCUGACCGAGCAACGCCGCGUGAGUGGAGAAGGUUUUCGGAUCGUAAAGCUCUGUUGUAAGGGAAGAACGGGUGUGAGAGUGGAAAGUUCACACUGUGACGGUAUCUUACCAGAAAGGGACGGCUAACUACGUG
Molecule: ribosomal RNA, 505 nt
Filed under: uncultured bacterium
Lineage: Bacteria
Description: partial 16S ribosomal RNA
Rfam family: Bacterial small subunit ribosomal RNA
Source: RNAcentral